This 220-nucleotide unclassified non-coding RNA is filed under the name plant metagenome. RNAcentral describes it as "partial contains small subunit ribosomal RNA, internal transcribed spacer 1, and 5.8S ribosomal RNA". The record is from RNAcentral.
UUUCCGUAGGUGAACCUGCGGAAGGAUCAUUACAGAGAACAUCGCCCUCACGGGUGACUCUCCAACCCUUUGUUAUUAUACCUUUGUUGCUUUGGCGAGCCGCCUCGGCCACCGGCUCACGCUGGUGAGUGCUCGCCAGAGGACCCCAAACUCUGAAUAUUAGUGUCGUCCGAGUAUUAUAUAAUAGUUAAAACUUUCAACAACGGAUCUCUUGGUUCUG